This is a non-coding RNA of Rattus norvegicus (Norway rat), 1053 nucleotides long. The record is from RefSeq and is a predicted model, not a curated record. Lineage: Eukaryota; Metazoa; Chordata; Mammalia; Rodentia; Muridae.
CACAUGCACGCAGGCAAAACACUCAUUCACAUAAAAUGAAUAAAAAAAAUUCCCACAAGAACUUGAAGUGGAAACUUAAGGGUUCUUUGGAAAUUUGGUUGGAUGGUGUUCUGCUGAGGCAAACAUGUGAAGGAACAUUUUGUUGAAGUGGACAUGGUGAAAGACUAAGGCAGACUCGUGAAGGAACUCAUGUAGGGACAUGUAAAGGAAUGGUUCGCUGAGGCAGACACAGGUGAAAGGACCCAUGAUGGAGGACUCUUCACUGAGGACCGACUGGAUUGGUCCACUAUACAUUGCGUAGUUGAACUGCAUUUGUUGGGACUCCAUAGAGAGAAACGCACCAAAAACCUUCUGGUGGUGUGCUGCGGUUUCUUGCCGCUUCUGUGGAUACCUGCGGAGUGAUGUCAGCUGAGACAGAGGCACUGUGCUGUGUGGUGUCUGGAGGACUCCAGGGACAGUGACGUAGGCAGAGCUUAGCCUGCCAGUACAGCUAGUUGUGCAAUGGUUGUGGAUCUUGAGUCUUUGCUCUUUGCUUCCCUGCGAGAGGCACGGCUGACUCCUGGUGUCUGUCUGGAUCCCUCCUGCUGACUUGUGUCAAGGCUGAGGCCUGCCUGUCUCUGCUAUGUCAUGCCACCGAUCCUGAUUCACGUUUGUUCUCCCAGUUCUAGGGAACUGGACUGCUGAGGUAUCCGUGAAGAGGAGGUGCUGCUGCUGAGCUGUGGACUGAACGGCCGAUGUCCAGACAACACGGAUGGAGUCGCUCCAAAGAACCUUCCUAACAUCUGACUGGAAGCUAUUCAUGAGGAAGCAACGAAACUGCCAUCCACACCCCCGGGCUGGAGAGGCCUGGGGACAUCUGUGGGUGAACCAGACUGACCAGCUUGGCUCCCACACCUCAACCCAGUUCCAGCUUUAAGACCUAUAAAAGCUCCCGGAGCAGCAGUUUGAUGAUGCCCCCUCUCUGAGGCCUGCUUCUGCUGUACGGGGCAGCUCUAUGCACUUUCUCUGGAGCUCAUGUCUGUGAGCCUAUAAUAAACUCCUUCUGCAAACUCA